GUGCAGCGCCGCGGUAAUACCGGCAGCCCGAGUGAUGGCCGAUCUUAUUGGGCCUGAAGCGUCCGUAGCUGGCUGCGCAAGUCCGUCGGGAAAUCCGCUCGCCCAACGAGUGGGCGUCCGACGGAAACUGCACAGCUUGGGACCGGAAGGCUCGAAGGGUACGUUCGGGGUAGGAGUGAAAUCCUAUAAUCCCGCACGGACCACCGAUGGCGAAAGCACUUCGAGAAAACGGAUCCGACAGUGAGGGACGAAAGCCAGGGUCUCCAACCGGAUUAGAUACCCUUGUCGUC
Molecule: ribosomal RNA, 290 nt
Filed under: uncultured bacterium
Lineage: Bacteria
Description: partial 16S ribosomal RNA
Rfam family: Archaeal small subunit ribosomal RNA
Source: RNAcentral